AUUUUCCCAUUAAGGAUGAUAUUACCCGUGGGUUUUUCAUAUUUGAUCAUUAUUAUGUUGAGUGUACAUCCUAGAAAAGAGCAGCUCUUUUAGCAAGAUUUCUGACAUGAAAAUAUAUGUGAAAGACCUAGCCUGGAUGGAACCUAGAGCAGUGACUUCCUAGAAAAAAACACAAAUGACAUAAGAUGAAAAUCUGGACUGAAGGAAGCCAAAUGCUCAAGAUACUUCUUUUGAAAAUCAUCAACAUAUUUUACUGAAAUCUGACAUUUUUACUGGUUUCAAGAUGUGCUGCACUUGCAAGCUGUCAUUUGUGACAGAACAACAGACUCUUCUCUGUUUUUUCUUGCAUUUGAAGAAAAUCAAUUUAAAGCUUAA
Molecule: long non-coding RNA, 375 nt
Organism: Canis lupus familiaris (dog)
Lineage: Eukaryota; Metazoa; Chordata; Mammalia; Carnivora; Canidae
Exons: 3
Source: RefSeq, a predicted model, not a curated record